This 75-nucleotide transfer RNA is filed under the name Trichuris muris. Its description in RNAcentral is "snRNA TMUE_0100000726". It matches the Rfam family "tRNA". Rfam says of the family: Transfer RNA (tRNA) molecules are approximately 80 nucleotides in length. Their secondary structure includes four short double-helical elements and three loops (D, anti-codon, and T loops). Lineage: Eukaryota; Metazoa; Nematoda; Enoplea; Trichinellida; Trichuridae. The record is from RNAcentral.
UCCUGUGUGGUAUAGUAGUGGUUAGGAUUUGUGGCUUUCACCCACACGGCCCAGGUUCAAUUCCCAGCACAGGAA